This 301-nucleotide ribosomal RNA is filed under the name uncultured bacterium. RNAcentral's name for it is "partial 16S ribosomal RNA". It matches the Rfam family "Bacterial small subunit ribosomal RNA", at positions 509 to 807 of the family's 1533-position model. The record is from RNAcentral.
CAGUAGCCACGGUAACACGAAGGGGGCUAGCGUUGUUCGGAUUUACUGGGCGUAAAGGGCGCGUAGGCGGACUGAUAAGUCAGGGGUGAAAUCCCAAGGCUCAACCUUGGAACUGCCUUUGAUACUGUUUGUCUUGAGUUCGAGAGAGGUAAGUGGAACUGCGAGUGUAGAGGUGAAAUUCGUAGAUAUUCGCAAGAACACCAGUGGCGAAGGCGGCUUACUGGCUCGAAACUGACGCUGAGGCGCGAAAGCGUGGGGAGCAAACAGGAUUAGAUACCCCCGUAGUCCCUGUCUCUUAUAC